AGAAGCAAGCCGACUGUCGCGGUCCGUUACGGCGGAACGAGGAAAGUCCGGGCAGCAUAGAGUAACCGUGCUUCCUAACAGGAAGGAUUCAUCCGUCAGCUGGCGGAUGGGUACAGCUAGUGCAGCAGAAAAUAAACCGCCCUGACUUCGUAAGAAUGUCAGUGGUAAGGGUGAAAAGGGGAGGUAAGAGCUCACCGUUCCGGUGGUGACAUUCGGAAGCUAGGUAAACCUCACGGGCUGAAAGAUCAUGUAAACCAGGCGAGUAGGGCUGCUCGUUCUCUCCUCGGCUAAGCCGGGGUGCCUGGAGGGUAGAUCGAUAGAUCCCGGAAGUGAUUCCGGGGCUAGAUAAAUGACAGUCAGUUCCGGUGAUUAUUCACCGGGAUGUACAGAACCCGGCUUAUGGCUUGCUUUUAUUU
Molecule: RNase P RNA, 416 nt
Filed under: Fluviicola chungangensis
Lineage: Bacteria; Pseudomonadati; Bacteroidota; Flavobacteriia; Flavobacteriales; Crocinitomicaceae
Description: Fluviicola sp. MAH-3 RNase P RNA component class A
Rfam family: Bacterial RNase P class A
About the family: Ribonuclease P (RNase P) is a ubiquitous endoribonuclease, found in archaea, bacteria and eukarya as well as chloroplasts and mitochondria. Its best characterised activity is the generation of mature 5'-ends of tRNAs by cleaving the 5'-leader elements of precursor-tRNAs.
Source: RNAcentral